UACGUAGGGUGCAAGCGUUGUCCGGAAUUAUUGGGCGUAAAGAGCUCGUAGGCGGUCUGUCGCGUCGAAUGUGAAAACCCGGGGCUCAACCCCGGGCCUGCAUUCGAUACGGGCGGACUAGAGUUCGGUAGGGGAGUCUGGAAUUCCUGGUGUAGCGGUGAAAUGCGCAGAUAUCAGGAGGAACACCCGUGGCGAAGGCGGCUCUCUGGGACGGUACUGACGCUGAGACGCGAAAGCGUGGGGGAGCGAAACAGG
This 255-nucleotide ribosomal RNA is filed under the name uncultured bacterium. Its description in RNAcentral is "partial 16S ribosomal RNA". It matches the Rfam family "Bacterial small subunit ribosomal RNA", at positions 524 to 776 of the family's 1533-position model. The record is from RNAcentral.